RNAcentral lists this long non-coding RNA (809 nucleotides) under Homo sapiens (human). Its description in RNAcentral is "non-protein coding lnc-GAS8-6:1". The record is from RNAcentral. Lineage: Eukaryota; Metazoa; Chordata; Mammalia; Primates; Hominidae.
ACCGUGAGGACAGAGCUUCCUCCCUCAGGACGCGGCUGGGAGAGGCUGCGGCCUCGGGAGACAUGGGGACACUUGGGGCCGCGUCCACAGUGAGACAGGGAGACGCUGCUGCAGCUUCGGGACACCUGGGGCCGCCCAGGCGAAGAUGAGGAAAAAGCUUCCUGUUGCCGUUGAGUGUAGCGGCGGGAGCGCGGCCGUGUUUCCCUGUCCGCCGUUUGUAGCAGGACCUCACUUUAUAUUAAUAAAAGCGUCCCCUCAUGAGGGCUUGGGCUGGUCACCCCCAGCGCAGGCCAAGAUGCAGGUUAUGGAUGUGAGUUUGUUUCUGGGGAGAGACCCUGGUACCGGGAGAGGAGACGCGGUCAGGAGGCUGGGGACGGGAAGGCGCCACAGCCUGAGGCCGAGAAAACAGGCGCCCCCGGAUCAGUGCUCGUUUUUUUUGGUUUGGUGUGUGUGUGUGUGUGUGUGCGUGUGCGCGUGCGCGUGCGUGUGUGUGUGUGUUUUGAGACCGAGUUUCGCUCUUGUUGCCCAGGCUGGAGUGCAGUGGCGCCAUCUCGGCUCACUGCAACCUCCGCCUCCCAGGUUCAAGCGAGUCUACUGCCUCAGCCUUCCGAAUAGCUGGAAUUACAGGGACCCGCCACCACGCCCAGCUAAGUUUUUGUAUUUUUAGUAGAGAUGGGGUUUCACUAUGUUGGCCAGGCUGGUGUCAAACUCCUGACCUCAAGUGAUCCACCUGCCUUGGCUUCCCAAAGUGCUGGGAUUGCAGGCAGGCCUGAGCCACCAUGCCCUGCUGCUUUUUUUUUCUAAAUUAA